RNAcentral lists this ribosomal RNA (315 nucleotides) under Triticum aestivum (bread wheat). Its description in RNAcentral is "partial small subunit ribosomal RNA". Lineage: Eukaryota; Viridiplantae; Streptophyta; Magnoliopsida; Poales; Poaceae. The record is from RNAcentral.
AUGCAUAUAGAAAAAAGUACUUAUUUUCCUUACAAUAUUUUGAUUAUACAACACAUUUCAAACAGCCUACCAAGACUACUAAAUUUCAAUACAAAAUUAUUUUGGCGCAUGUUACUUAUUUCAAAACAAAGACAAAAAUAUUUAUUUAACUUAAUAGGAAAAUACUUGACUAAUCUAGCAGCACAAACAGUAAAUCUACUAUAUCCUCCGAAGCGAUACAAAAUUUUAAACGAGAUUUACUUAUUGAUCAAAAUAAUUAUAAGCAACAAAGCAUAUCAUGUCAAGUAUUGGUGUUUCUUAUCUAUACCAAUAUAA